Molecule: long non-coding RNA, 976 nt
Filed under: Homo sapiens (human)
Lineage: Eukaryota; Metazoa; Chordata; Mammalia; Primates; Hominidae
Description: long intergenic non-protein coding RNA 665
Source: RNAcentral
CUGAAGACCAGAGAAAACACAGCAAGCCCCUGGAUCCUCCUGGAAUCCCCGAUCCCUCUUGCUCCCUGGCAGAGUUUUCUAGUCCCUCUUACUUGAAGCAUGUCUUUCAGAGCCCGGCACCACCCAUCUUGAGUAUCUGACUCAGCCCACCUGCACCCAGUUGAAAUAAACAGCCAUGUUGCUCACACAAAGCCUGUUUGGUGGUCUCUUCACAUGGACGGGCAUGAAAUUUGGUGCCGUGACUCGGAUCGGGGGACCUCCCUUAGGAGAUCAAUCCCCCAUCCUCCUGCUCUUUGCUCCGUGAGAGAGAUCCACCUAUGAGCUCAGGUCCUCAGACUCACCAGCCCAAGAAACAUCUCACCAAUUUCACUUCCGGAACCCACUGGAAAUCGGACUGUUCAACUCACCUGGCAGCCACUCCCAGAGCCCCUGGAACUCUGGCCCAAAGCUCUCUGACUGACUCCUUGGCUUAGCGGCUGAAGAUUGAUGCUGCCUGAUCUCCUCGGAAGCCCCGUAGACCAUCACAGACGCCGAGAUUUUGGUAACUCUCACAGUGGAGGGUAAGUCCGUCCCCUUCUUAAUCAAUACGGAGGCUACCCACUCCACAUUACUUUCUUUUCAAAGGCCUGUUUCCCUUGCCUCCAUAACUGUUGUAGGUAUUGACAGCCAGGCUUCUAAACCUCUUAAAACUCCCCAGCUCUGGUGCCAACUUAGACAAUAUUCUUUUAUGCACUCUUUUUUAGUUAUCCCCCUCUGCCCAGUUCCCUUAUUAGGCCGAGAUAUUUUAACAAAAUUAUCUGCUUCCCUGACUAUUCCUGGACUACAGCUGCAUCUCAUUGCCGCCCUUCUUCCCAAUCCAAAGCCUCCUUUGCAUCCUCCUCUUGUAUCCCCCCACCUUAACCCACAAGUAUAAGAUACCCCUACUCCCUCCUUGGUGACCGAUCAUGCACCCCUUACCAUCUCAUUAAAACCUAAU